UAGAGUUUGAUCCUGGCUCAGAUUGAACGCUGGCGACAGGCUUAACACAUGCAAGUCGAGCGGAAACGAUGGUAGCUUGCUACCAGGCGUCGAGCGGCGGACGGGUGAGUAACGCUUGGGAAUCUGCCUUGAGGUGGGGGAUAACAGUUGGAAACGACUGCUAAUACCGCAUGAUGUCUUCGGACCAAAGUAGGGGAUCUUCGGACCUUACGCCUUUAGAGGAGCCCAAGUGAGAUUAGCUAGUUGGUGAGGUAAUGGCUCACCAAGGCGACGAUCUCUAGCUGGUUUGAGAGGAUGAUCAGCCACACUGGGACUGAGACACGGCCCAGACUCCUACUGGAGGCAGCAGUGGGGAAUAUUGCACAAUGGGGGAAACCCUGAUGCAGCCAUGCCGCGUGUGUGAAGAAGGCCUUCGGGUUGUAAAGCACUUUCAGUUGUGAGGAAAGGUGUGUAGUUAAUAGCUGCAUACUGUGACGUUAACAACAGAAGAAGCACCGGCUAACUUCGUGCCAGCAGCCGCGGUAAUACGAGGGGUGCAAGCGUUAAUCGGAAUUACUGGGCGUAAAGCGUUCGUAGGCGGUUGAAUAAGCAAGAUGUGAAAGCCCAGGGCUCAACCUUGGAACUGCAUUUUGAACUGUUCGACUAGAGUACUGUAGAGGGGGGUAGAAUUUCA
This 673-nucleotide ribosomal RNA is filed under the name uncultured Vibrionaceae bacterium. RNAcentral's name for it is "bacterial SSU rRNA". It matches the Rfam family "Bacterial small subunit ribosomal RNA", at positions 1 to 671 of the family's 1533-position model. Lineage: Bacteria; Pseudomonadati; Pseudomonadota; Gammaproteobacteria; Vibrionales; Vibrionaceae. The record is from RNAcentral.